Molecule: ribosomal RNA, 253 nt
Filed under: uncultured bacterium
Lineage: Bacteria
Description: partial 16S ribosomal RNA
Rfam family: Bacterial small subunit ribosomal RNA
Source: RNAcentral
UACGGAGGGUGCAAGCGUUAUCCGGAUUCACUGGGUUUAAAGGGUGCGUAGGUGGAUCUGUAAGUCAGUGGUGAAAUCUCCAAGCUUAACUUGGAAACUGCCGUUGAUACUAUAGAUCUUGAAUGCUGUGGAGGUGAGCGGAAUAUGUCAUGUAGCGGUGAAAUGCGCAGAUAUCAUUUGGAACGCCAAUGGUGAAAACAGGUCGCUGGGAGUGUGCUGACGCUGAGACACGAAAGCCAGGGGAGCAAACGGG